Molecule: non-coding RNA, 5668 nt
Organism: Lolium perenne
Lineage: Eukaryota; Viridiplantae; Streptophyta; Magnoliopsida; Poales; Poaceae
Source: RefSeq, a predicted model, not a curated record
CAUCCAAGUGCCAACCACCCACGACUCCCACCGUCAAAGAGAAGAGCAGUGAACCCAAGGGCCAUGGUGGAGAUUUUGGCUCGCAUCAGGGGACAGCCGUCGGCUGACGGCGCUAGGGUUUGCCGCCGCCCCUUCCCAUUGUCUUCCGGCUCCAUCGCCACAGAGAGAGGAUGGCGCUGCUCCUCAACCUCGCGUGGCGGCGCGCGUGCCCCGUCCUUGGGCUUGCUCCUCAGUAUCCGCACCAUUGGUGCCCUCUCCUGCCGCUGCAACACCGGCGAACUCCCAGGCAUCGACAACGCCCUACCCUACGUGGUGCAGUGCCAUCUCCGGCAAGAGGGCUGCCGCCCUACCCUCCCAUGUUCAUCCGCGCCGCCACUUAUUCGGGGAGGGUCGCCCUCUCGAUUCGCCACGCCUCCUUCCACCACGCAACUUCUGUAUAUCUCAUCUCCAUACUUCACCAGUCCGAGUGCGUUGAGAUGGCCGUUGUCACUGCUAGAUCAAGGACAUCAACGAUCUAUUUCUUCUGUCCGGCGAGCAUCUAAUUUCUUUUUCUUUUGCAUAGCCUGCGGAGAAGCUUUGUUCGCUGCCCUCUAUGCGAGCCCAUGGCGUACUAUUCUGGAGGUGGGGGAUUCCUCUGUGUUGCCCACUGCCAUGUCACCCAUUCAUUCAGUGUAGCGACGUUGUUUUACAUGGAUGGACAAACCAAGGUCAUGGUGAUGCUCACGAAUCUGAGGGGUACAGGUGAGUCUGAACCGGCACACGAGGUUGUCCCAGCCAGUGUGAGAUGCAACCUUAGUUUCAGAGUAGCAUGAAGCAUGAUACGUGAUUACUUGCUAUUUUCCUGGUACAUAACAUUUGGAAAAAAAGGCUCAUGUUUCAGAUAAAUAAUAAUGAUUUCUAUUCAUUCAACAAUUUUGGUGUAGAAUCUGUUCUUGUCAUAUUAAGCAUAUAAAUCAUAGGAGUUGCUUUAGAUUAUUAGAAUCAUCUUUAGCUGACCAAGUGUGCAGAUAAUAACACUUCUUUGCAUUGGAAUCUCUCAUCUAAAUUACUACCAGUUAGCUUAUGAAAUUCAUUGUUAACUAAAAUUGUAAAGUAGCUGAUUGCCUGAAUGUACUGUAGUAGUAGAUAGUAACGUUAUCUGACCACGAUAGUUGCUAGCAAUGCAAACCAUGCAUGUUAAGUAGAGACUCUACAUAGAUGAGUGUUAGUUACGUACGCUAGCACACAGUGCACACACAUGCAAGUGAUUGUUAGAUAUUUACACCACCACCAGUUUCCAGUUUGUCGGUUCCUUCUUCAUCACUCUUCUAUAAAUCUUCAAGUGAAGCCAAGGCUCUCCCUUCAACAGUUGUGAAACAAAAAGAAUGACACUGGUCUAUUUCGUUUAAUUUAUUUAUUGACAAUUCAAUCAUGUUUCAUAGAAUAUCAUGAAUUAAUUUCCCCUUGCACAUCAUUUCUUUUUGUUAUGACUAGCAUGGUGUUUUUUUACUGCUGAGCGCUUUGGGAGAUGGAGAUCCGGAUACAGUGGCGGUGGUGGUGAUGACAGGGAAGCUAGGGUGAGCCUGAUCUAGCCGUUUGCAGCAACGAGAGCAGUUCAAGCAAGACAAGGCCAUGGCCUCCAAUGAGUUGCAGAAAAAUAGUUUUUUUACUGCUGAGCAUGUGGUCGGUGAGGUGGGGAUUGGCCGGUGCGCCAUCAAGCCCUCCAGGGGGACGACGCCAACGCACUAGCACCGAUGGUCUCCCUUCCGAUGCCAUCAAGUUUCCCUGCUGACGCCACCGAUUCUCACUGCCUCCGCCGCCACCCGAAGCUGGAUCUGGACCUUCUCCUCAACUCAGGUAAACAAGCCAUAUAUUUCCAAUGGAUGAGAUCUGAGAUGAUUUGAUCGUUGAUUGGUGCUUCAAGGGUUGCAAUAUAUAGCUGCCUAUCUGAUGACUGCUGCAGCCUGCAGGGUCUCACACGCUCUGGCCCCUGAUGCAUAUUGAUGCAACGCAAAAAAUAUAAGUGUCAGACAGAGAGCUAGGCAACAGAUGAAUGAUUAGACGUGAUUUUCAAGUAAUGGUGUAUUAAUGAUAUUAUAUAAGAGAAGAACGUUGUCAAUUUCAUAGGUAAAAGUGCAAAAAGCAAUGAAUGGUGCGCAAGUGCAUAUAAGUUUACUUAUCACUGGGUAUAAUUUCUUCAUCUAAUUUACUAAGCAGACUUGUCAUCCAUGAACUAAUUAUAGGAAAGAGAAACAACAGUUGAUGGAACUGGUAUGCUCAUACCUCAUGGUAACAUAUAGUGUUGACGAUUAUCUUAUUUAUCCGCAUACUUACUUUCUUGCCACCGUAUGCAUUAUCUGAAUCCUAAGCUAAUCUACGAGAGUGCGUUACUUGCUGUCUACUAUGAUUGGUGUGCACCUCAUAAAACAAGUAGUGCUGUCAUUUUUGUGCAAUGAGUACUGGUAUACCAAUCUGAUGAGCAGAGAUUAUGAAUCAUUUUUUUGUUGAUUUUCCUCUUUUGUGUGAUAGAAGCAGAAAAGAAUGUUACUCUGUAUUGAGAUCUAUGUCCAUGGGGUGAAUAAUUGGAUUUGAGUGGAAAGUGAGUAGCAACUUUCAGGCAUUGUGAACUCUCAUUUCAGAUGGCACGGUGAGGAACUUCCAUGUCAAGGCUCGAGGUCUUCCUCAACAACCUGGACGAAGAGGGUGGUGUCGCCGGCUGAGACUACAUAUUUUUCGUCGCCGCCCCGGUGACCCUCAUGACAGAGGAUCCCGAGGAAAAUAGAAAUCAGUUACUUCGCGUUCUUCAGCCUGUGCAGCACACACAUUUGUCCAAGAAGGCCUGAUCGAGCCGGCGGUGCAUGCUCGCAGAGAAUGCGGCAGUGCGAGGUCAGGUAGGAGAACAGCAUUAGCUUCAUUACUGUGUGCCCCGUCGUCAUGGUUGGCGUGACGCCUGCGACGAAGGUCCAGACCGGCGUCCCGCUCAUUCGCUCCUUGCUAUCUGGCGAGACUUUUCACGUGAAUAAAAGCAUCUAAAUUCUUUUCCCAUCGUGUUCUUCUGUAUCUCUUCUUGUGAUGUCUUGUCAAGUGUGAUGGUUUCAGGCAACCUGGCGAUGGUCCAGACGCUGAAACCUUGGCUUCCAUCACGCUGGUCCAGAUCAGCGAUCUGUGCCGCCAAGUUGACCGAGUCCUCAUCCAGCAGGCCAACAGGCAUGAUGCAACAACGGCAAUUAGCAAAUAUUUUGGGACAUGCGCACAUACAUGACGUGCCCAUGUUCUUGUUCUUUCUCCAUUUCUCCAUGACCCGCAUUCUCUAUUGACGCAAGCACUACUCAUAGCCAUCUAUUGCAAAACUGAUGCAUUUUUCUGCUGUUUCAAUUGCAGGUUUGCAGGAUAUUUACGAUUUUGGCAUCGCUCAUGUGUUACUAACAUACUAUAAGUUCACCGCCGCUAGAAAAUCCACCCGAUGCAGGUCUUUCAAGCAUUUAAUGGCCAGCCCAUCUUCUAGCAUGAGUACAUAUUACUGUAUUAGAACAAUUGUGAAGCAGAACCAAUUGAUGCAUGGACCUACAGAAAAUAGAAGUAUCCACUUAUAGUAUAUACAAACUAUUAAAGUUACGUGUGUUAUUACAAUGAACUUUAGAUAAUUACUAUCGAAAGUGGACAAUUUUUUGAAUAUGUAUUUCAAACAAACAAAAUAGUUAUGAGUAGGAAAGAAAUAUUCAUUGAUGUUACUUUUUGUGGUUAUAGUUUACUUAUUUUUCAUAGUUAGCUCCUUUCCUCCAUUGAUCCAUACUAGAAUUGUCCAGAGUUUCCUUUUCGUCAGUAAAAAUGUGAAUGAUGAAAGUUAUUUAGUGUAGAGAUGAAUCUACCAACUUCAGGAAAAUAGCUAUAAUAAUUCUAAAGCAGCAUUCUUGUGUAAGUUCUCAAACAAAACUAAACUCAUGAUACAUGUAUUUCUGAAGGGAGAAAUAAGGUUAUCUAUACUAUAUCAAAUGGCUAGAGGUGGUGUUCGAUGGUUUGUACUGUUUGGAAGUACAAUAUAAUCUCAAGAUCUCACCUUUUAUUAUUCUUUCUCCAUGUGUAGAGAGUAUACGGUUCUUCUCCAAGGUGAGUAGCAAACAUGUUUUCUCGCUUCUUGAUUCGAACCCUUGCCCCAAUUGUAACAAAGCAAAAGUCUGGUCUAAUGGCUCAUCUGAAUCUUCCUGUUGGUCUGAACGGACAUAGCAUUCUGAUUGACUAAAGAUGAAAAUCAAGUUUUGAUGCAGAGCUAUUUCAUGUACUGCAAAGCUUUCGCAUCAUUAUACAAAGCCUGUAGGAAUCAGCAGCCUUCCAAGAGCCCCCAGGACCACCGUUGCAUUGUAAUCGACCACGUCUAAGCUUCUGCACUGCCAACUUCCGUGCCAAUGACAUGUUUGUGCUCGCCGGGAUAUACAUCAUAAUGUUUGAAGGCGGUAAGUAACAUGCUCUCUUCUUUCACUUUGAUAUCUGAGCUACUCGACCACACUAUUGAUUGAUUGUGUCCCCAGCUUCCUCCAGCAAUGAUAAAUGGAUCUUGGUCAUCAGCAAUUGACUUUGCACAUACGGCCAAAGUGUAUUUUCUCUAAGCAAUUGGUUUUUUAUGCAAUUAAUUCUAUGGGUUGUCAUGUAGAUGGUGGCCUCUGUGGUUUGCAGGUUUAGGUCGUGUGAAUGUGUCAUGCAUAUCCGAGAAAAUGUAUAGCUUUUAAAGAACCACCUCACUGUAUGUAACAUUAUUAUGGAUAUUUAGAUUAUCAUGUGUUUAUAGAACAGAUUAACCUAAUCUAUUAUGUACAAAUGUUAUAACGUGUUUAAUAUCAACAAUAAUUUGUCAGUAUACAUGACACAUAUUUGUUGUGUUGCACGAUAUUUGUAGCGCUGAAAUAAUUAUGGUUCUUUUAGUUCCAACGAGAAGGAUGAUACGUCUCCGACGUAUCGAUAAUUUCUUAUGUUCCAUGCCACAUUAUUGAUGUUAUCUACAUGUUUUAUGCACACUUUAUGUCAUAUUCGUGCAUUUUCUGGAACUAACCUAUUAACAAGAUGCCGAAGUGCCAGUUGCUGUUUUCUGCUGUUUUUGGUUUCAGAAAUCCUAGUAAGGAAAUAUUCUCGGAAUUGGACGAAAUCAACGCCCAGGGGCCUAUUUUGCCACGAAUCUUCCAGAAGUCCGAAGACGAAACGAAGUGGGGCCACAGGGUGCCCAAACCCUAGGGCGGCGCGGCCCCCCCCUUGGCCGCGCCGGCCUAUGGUGUGGGGCCCCUGUGCCCCCUCCUGACUUGCCCUUCCGCCUACUAAAAGCCUCCGUGACGAAACCCCCAGUACCGAGAGCCACGAUACGGAAAACCUUCCAGAGACACCGCCAACGCCGAUCCCAUCUCGGGGGAUCCAGGAGAUCGCCUCCGGCACCCUGCCGGAGAGGGGAAUCAUCUCCCGGAGGACUCUACGCCGCCAUGGUUGCCUCCGGUGUGAUGUGUGAGUAGUCUACCCCUGGACUAUGGGUCCAUAGCAGUAGCUAGAUGGUUGUCUUCUCCCCAUUGUGCUAUCAUUGUCGGAUCUUGUGAGCUGCCUAACAUGAUCAAGAUCAUCUAUCUGUAAUUCUAUAUGUUGCGUUUGUUGGGAUCCGAUGAAUAGAGAAUACUUGUUAUGUUGAUUAUCAAAGCUAUGUCUAUGUGUUGUU